CCCCCAGUAAGGGCGACUGAACGGGGAGGAGCCCAGCGCGGAACCUCGCGCGCCUCACCGGCUGCGUCUGAGGAAUGUCGCGUUCCGGAGGGGCCUUCUCCGACCACACCGACCCCCCCCAAGUCCGCUUGAACGCGGCCACUGCCCACGGAGGGUGCGAGGCCCGUACGGGGAUUAGGAGUCGGGCGGUCGGACGGCCCCGUCCGUAGAGUCGGGUUGCCUACUAACGCAGCCCAAAGCAGGUGGUAAACUCCAUCUAAGGCUAAA
Molecule: ribosomal RNA, 267 nt
Filed under: Squilla edentata
Lineage: Eukaryota; Metazoa; Arthropoda; Malacostraca; Stomatopoda; Squillidae
Description: partial large subunit ribosomal RNA
Rfam family: Eukaryotic large subunit ribosomal RNA
Source: RNAcentral